Molecule: ribosomal RNA, 375 nt
Filed under: Theileria capreoli
Lineage: Eukaryota; Apicomplexa; Aconoidasida; Piroplasmida; Theileriidae
Description: SSU rRNA
Rfam family: Eukaryotic small subunit ribosomal RNA
Source: RNAcentral
AUACGGGGCUUUAUGUCUUGUAUUGGAAUGAUGGGAAUUUAAACCUCUUCCAGAGUAUCAAUUGGAGGGCAAGUCUGGUGCCAGCAGCCGCGGUAAUUCCAGCUCCAAUAGCGUAUAUUAAAAUUGUUGCAGUUAAAAAGCUCGUAGUUGAAUUUCUGCUGCAUUGCAUUUUCUCCUAUACGAGUUUUUGCAUUGUGGCUUAUUUCGGUUAUAAAAUUUAUUUUUAUUUCCGGAUGUUUACUUUGAGAAAAUUAGAGUGCUCAAAGCAGGCUUUUGCCUUGAAUAGUUUAGCAUGGAAUAAUAAAGUAGGACUUUGGUUCUAUUUUGUUGGUUUUAGGUACCAAAGUAAUGGUUAAUAGGAACAGUUGGGGGCAU